Molecule: long non-coding RNA, 297 nt
Filed under: Homo sapiens (human)
Lineage: Eukaryota; Metazoa; Chordata; Mammalia; Primates; Hominidae
Description: HSALNT0347865
Source: RNAcentral
AGAGUGGCUACAUCACAGAGCCUCUGACCCUGAGAUCCACCCCAGAACUUGCCAGUCAAGAUGAAAAACUUCUUCUAAUGGAAUCCAGCUUGAAAGCUACUCAAGAGCAGCUAACUGAGCAAAUAGCAGAAACAGUUCGCCAAGAACAGAACAGUAGAAAACCCCAGGCAGAGCUGAAGACAGUGACAGAAGGGAUUAUUGCUUCUGAAGAAGAAAAAAAAUGAUUACAAGAUAUGCUUCAGCCAAAUAUAUUGGGCUUACUCUAAGAAAUAGUAACACGUCAUGAAAUUUUUCUUG